RNAcentral lists this ribosomal RNA (642 nucleotides) under uncultured Basidiomycota. RNAcentral's name for it is "LSU rRNA". It matches the Rfam family "Eukaryotic large subunit ribosomal RNA", at positions 1 to 628 of the family's 3401-position model. The record is from RNAcentral. Lineage: Eukaryota; Fungi; Basidiomycota.
CCUCAAAUCAGGCGGGACUACCCGCUGAACUUAAGCAUAUCAAUAAGCGGAGGAAAAGAAACUAACAAGGAUUCCCCUAGUAACUACGAGUGAAGCGGGAAAAGCUCAAAUUUAAAAUCUGGCAGUCUUUGGCUGUCCGAGUUGUAGUCUGGAGAAGCGUCUUCCGCGCUGGACCGUGUACAAGUCUCCUGGAACGGAGCGUCAUAGAGGGUGAGAAUCCCGUCUUUGACACGGACUACCAGUGCUUUGUGAUGCGCUCUCAAAGAGUCGAGUUGUUUGGGAAUGCAGCUCAAAAUGGGUGGUAAACUCCAUCUAAAGCUAAAUAUUGGCGAGAGACCGAUAGCGAACAAGUACCGUGAGGGAAAGAUGAAAAGCACUUUGGAAAGAGUGUUAAACAGUACGUGAAAUUGCUGAAAGGGAAACGCUUGAAGUCAGUCGCGUCCGCUAGAACCCAGCCUGGCUUUUGCUUGGUGCAUUUUCUAGUGGACGGGCCAGCAUCACUUUUGGCUGCGGGAUAAAGGUCGCAGGAAUGUGGCACCUUCGGGUGUGUUAUAGCCUGUGAUUGUAUACCGUGGCUGGGAGUGAGGACCGCAGCACGCCUUCAUGGCGGGGGUUCGCCCACCUUGCGUCUGUGAGAUGGUG